GCCCCGGUAAACGGCGGCCGUAACUAUAACGGUCCUAAGGUAGCGAAAUUCCUUGUCGGGUAAGUUCCGACCUGCACGAAUGGCGUAAUGAUGGCCAGGCUGUCUCCACCCGAGACUCAGUGAAAUUGAACUCGCUGUGAAGAUGCAGUGUACCCGCGGCAAGACGGAAAGACCCCGUGAACCUUUACUAUAGCUUGACACUGAACAUUGAGCCUUGAUGUGUAGGAUAGGUGGGAGGCUUUGAAGUGUGGACGCCAGUCUGCAUGGAGCCGACCUUGAAAUACCACCCUUUAAUGUUUGAUGUUCUAACGUUGGCCCGUAAUCCGGGUUGCGGACAGUGUCUGGUGGGUAGUUUGACUGGGGCGGUCUCCUCCUAAAGAGUAACGGAGGAGCACGAAGGUUGGCUAAUCCUGGUCGGACAUCAGGAGGUUAGUGCAAUGGCAUAAGCCAGCUUGACUGCGAGCGUGACGGCGCGAGCAGGUGCGAAAGCAGGUCAUAGUGAUCCGGUGGUUCUGAAUGGAAGGGCCAUCGCUCAACGGAUAAAAGGUACUCCGGGGAUAACAGGCUGAUACCGCCCAAGAGUUCAUAUCGACGGCGGUGUUUGGCACCUCGAUGUCGGCUCAUCACAUCCUGGGGCUGAAGUAGGUCCCAAGGGUAUGGCUGUUCGCCAUUUAAAGUGGUACGCGAGCUGGGUUUAGAACGUCGUGAGACAGUUCGGUCCCUAUCUGCCGUGGGCGCUGGAGAACUGAGGGGGGCUGCUCCUAGUACGAGAGGACCGGAGUGGACGCAUCACUGGUGUUCGGGUUGUCAUGCCAAUGGCACUGCCCGGUAGCUAAAUGCGGAAGAGAUAAGUGCUGAAAGCAUCUAAGCACGAAACUUGCCCCGAGAUGAGUUCUCCCUGACUCCUUGAGGG
RNAcentral lists this ribosomal RNA (913 nucleotides) under Escherichia coli. RNAcentral describes it as "partial 23S ribosomal RNA". It matches the Rfam family "Bacterial large subunit ribosomal RNA", at positions 1917 to 2834 of the family's 2925-position model. The record is from RNAcentral. Lineage: Bacteria; Pseudomonadati; Pseudomonadota; Gammaproteobacteria; Enterobacterales; Enterobacteriaceae.